ACAUCAUUAUUAAAAAUGCUGUGGAUCUUAAAUUGAGAAAAAGUUUACCAUUAGAGCUUCAAAUUUAUAAGACCAAUCACAGAGAAGCUGAUUCGAUCUUCCUAAAGCCCAUGAAUAAUACCAGGUCUUAACAUUGACAGAAAUAACUUAGAGAAAAAAAAAAAUCUAAGUGUGGAUUGACUGUCUAUCCUAUGAUGGUUUUCACCCUGUUGGUUGCUAUCGGUCUAAAUAGCCACUUCCACCCACUCCAGACCAUAAGCUCCACACAGAUCAUGUCAUUGGAUACUCCAGAAAAUGAAUAUGUCUUGAAGUGCAUGGAGUGUGUGAUUAAGUCCCUGAGUAGGGUACCCAAGGUAGAUAACAACUAUAGGCCCCUCUCUUCUCUUUGAUUCUCCCCUUGGAGGAAAAGAUGGGGUGAGAGUGUACAAAGGUCACCUGGCCUGAAAUUUUCCUUUCUCAGACUGGCAUACAGCCUUUAAGGAUCUACCUAGGUAACUUUUUAAAUGAUCACCAGCACCAGUUGGUUUUUCCAGUUAUUGCAGAGAGCAGCUGAUGGAAGAGGUACUAUAGGGAAGUCACAAUAUGGCUGGAUGCAGGUUGACCCUCCAGACUUCUUCUUUUGGUCACAGUGGCCUCAUGCAGUAAUGACAGGGAGUAGGAGGGUGGGAAUGAGGGGACUGGCUAGAGGGAACAUAAAUAUUUGAAAAGAGGAUUUUGGUCUUUCAGGAACACUUUUGUUCUCAUGCUAUACAAAGAUCAAGCUGCAUAACACCCCUGUAGGCAACUGGUACUCA
This is a long non-coding RNA of Mustela lutreola (European mink), 794 nucleotides long. RefSeq lists it as uncharacterized. The transcript is spliced from 5 exons. The record is from RefSeq and is a predicted model, not a curated record. NCBI's taxonomy places the organism in Eukaryota, Metazoa, Chordata, Mammalia, Carnivora, Mustelidae.